CACGCCAUCUCCCUUUCCUCCUCUCUUUCCAACGCCCAAGGAUUGGGCAUCCCAUAUUCCCACACGUCUGAGUUAAAGGUGAUUUCUUCUACAGUAAGGAACAGGAAGAAAGGCUGCAUUCAAGUAUUGAGAUUGCAGUCAAAGAUCCAGAUUUGAUCAAAGAUCCAAAAGACUGAGAUUCAUCUUGGAGGAGAUGGAUCUGUAACAAAAAAAAGUUCAAGAUUGAUCCUGGUGAAUACCUGUAGAGGCCAGAUACAUGUGUGGCUCAGGAA
Molecule: long non-coding RNA, 272 nt
Filed under: Elaeis guineensis (African oil palm)
Lineage: Eukaryota; Viridiplantae; Streptophyta; Magnoliopsida; Arecales; Arecaceae
Description: long non-coding RNA (EGUI_LNC045450)
Source: RNAcentral